This 467-nucleotide ribosomal RNA is filed under the name uncultured bacterium. Its description in RNAcentral is "partial 16S ribosomal RNA". It matches the Rfam family "Bacterial small subunit ribosomal RNA", at positions 28 to 507 of the family's 1533-position model. The record is from RNAcentral.
GACGAACGCUGGCGGCGUGCUUAACACAUGCAAGUCGAACGGAAAGGCCUCUUUCGGGGGGUACUCGAGUGGCGAACGGGUGAGUAACACGUGAGUAACCUGCCCUUGACUUUGGGAUAACUUCAGUAAACUGGGGCUAAUACCGGAUAGGAGCUCCUGCUGCAUGGUGGGGGUUGGAAAGUUUCGGCGGUUGGGGAUGGACUCGCGGCUUAUCAGCUUGUUGGUGGGGUAGUGGCUUACCAAGGCUUUGACGGGUAGCCGGCCUGAGAGGGUGACCGGCCACAUUGGGACUGAGGGACGGCCCAGACUCCUACGGGAGGCAGCAGUGGGGAAUAUUGCACAAUGGGUGGAAGCCGGAUGCAGCAACGCCGUGUGCGGGAUGACGGCCUUCGGGUUGUAAAACGCUUUCGCUCAUGACGAAGCUUUGUGUGACGGUAGUGGGUAAAGAAGCACCGGCUAACUACGUG